CGAAUGGCGUAACGACUUCCCCACUGUCUCCAGCAUAGACUCAGUGAAAUUGAACUCUCCGUGAAGAUGCGGAGUUCCUGCGGUCAGACGGAAAGACCCCGUGAACCUUUACUAUAGCUUCACAGUGGACUUUGAUCUUAUUUGUGUAGGAUAGGUGGGAGGCUUUGAAGCGUUAUCGCUAGAUAGCGUGGAGCCAACCUUGAAAUACCACCCUGGUAAUUUCGGAGUUCUAAGCUCGAUCGGUAUAUCCCGGUCAGGGACAAUGUAUGGUGGGUAGUUUGACUGGGGCGGUCUCCUCCCAAAGAGUAACGGAGGAGUGCGAAGGUAACCUCAGCGCGG
This 339-nucleotide ribosomal RNA is filed under the name Oxyrrhis marina. Its description in RNAcentral is "partial Bacterial large subunit ribosomal RNA". It matches the Rfam family "Bacterial large subunit ribosomal RNA", at positions 1993 to 2330 of the family's 2925-position model. The record is from RNAcentral. Lineage: Eukaryota; Dinophyceae; Oxyrrhinales; Oxyrrhinaceae.